Odobenus rosmarus divergens (Pacific walrus) is the source of this 1316-nucleotide RNA transcript. It is a transcript of the gene named cyclin-C-like, with no coding region annotated. The transcript has 3 exons. The record is from RefSeq and is a predicted model, not a curated record. NCBI's taxonomy places the organism in Eukaryota, Metazoa, Chordata, Mammalia, Carnivora, Odobenidae.
AUGACUGCCAUCUCUGGUGUGUUAGCAAGCCUGGACACUGACUACCAUCUCUGCCCAUCUUCGACCUUCUCCAUCAGUUUCAUUGUCCAAGAGGCUGCCCGGCAGGAACUGUGCAAGAGCUCCCUGCCCUUGGGCUUGCAGCUGGGCUCGGCUAAGAGGAAGCACCGGCAGGAGGUCCUCCAGAAGGGCUGGAGCAAAGUGAGCCGCCGCGGAGUGCAGCCGAGCAGAUCAGAUCCAGGAGCGCGGUUACCGGGCGGGCUGGGUCUAUGGUCGCUCCGCGGGCCGCUCCGCCGGCUGGUGCCUUUUUUUAAUCAGGGCAAGGAACUUUUGGCAGAGCUCCCAUUAUUUACAAUGGAUUUUGGAUAAACAAGAUCUGUUGAAGGAACGCCAGAAGGACUUCAAGUUUCUCUCAGAAGAAGAGUAUUGGAAAUUACAGAUAUUUUUUGCAAAUGUUAUUCAAGCAUUAGGUGAACAUCUUAAAUUAAGACAAGUUAUUGCCACUGCUACGGUCUAUUUCAAGAGAUUCUAUGCCAGGUAUUCUCUGAAAAGUAUAGAUCCUGGAUUAAUGGCUCCUGCAUGUGUGUUUUUGGCAUCCAAAGUAGAGGAAUUUGGAGUAGUCUCAAAUACAAGAUUGAUUUCUGCUGCUACUUCUGUAUUAAAAACUAGAUUUUCAUUUGCCUUUCCAAAGGAAUUUCCUUAUAGGAUGAACCAUAUAUUAGAAUGUGAAUUCUGUCUUUUAGAACUAACGGAUUGUUGCUUGAUAGUGUAUCAUCCUUAUAGACCUUUGCUCCAGUAUGUGCAGGACAUGGGCCAAGAAGACAUGUUGCUUCCCCUUGCAUGGAGGAUAGUGAGUGAUACCUACAGAACGGAUCUUUGCCUGCUGUAUCCUCCUUUCAUGAUAGCUUUAGCUUGUCUACAUGUAGCCUGUGCUGUACAGCAGAAAGGUGCCAGACAGUGGUUUGCUGAGCUUUCUGUGGAUAUGGAGAAGAUUUUGGAAAUAAUCAGGGUUAUUCUAAAACUACAUGAGCAGUGGAAGAAUUUUGAUGAGAGAAAAGAGAUGGCAACUAUUCUUAGUCAGAUGCCAAAACCAAAACCUCCUCCGAACAGUGAAGGAGAGCAGGGUCCAAACGGAAUUCAGAGCUCUAGCUACAGCCAAUCUUAAGACAUUCCGAAGAAUUCCAUAGUGGACCAGUUGGGAAAUAAACCAUCGGACAGAUUUCAGUUAUGUCUUCAAUGGAACACAAAUGAAAAUGAAGAGCUUGUUUCUGUCAAGCAUAUUGGGAAGUGAUUUUAUUUUUGCAAAAUAAGUUUUCCUU